GGGGACCCCUCGUACGGUGUCACCUCGCUGAACUCCCCCAGGGCUUGACGGCAGCAAGGGCAGGCGGGCUCUGGCAGGUGUACGAGGGGUCGCUCUC
Molecule: signal recognition particle RNA, 97 nt
Filed under: Candidatus Brachybacterium merdigallinarum
Lineage: Bacteria; Bacillati; Actinomycetota; Actinomycetes; Micrococcales; Dermabacteraceae
Description: signal recognition particle sRNA small type
Rfam family: Bacterial small signal recognition particle RNA
About the family: The signal recognition particle (SRP) is a universally conserved ribonucleoprotein involved in the co-translational targeting of proteins to membranes. Archaeal SRP consists of a 7S RNA and homologues of the eukaryotic SRP19 and SRP54 proteins. In most bacteria, the SRP consists of a 4.5S RNA and the Ffh protein (a homologue of the eukaryotic SRP54 protein).
Source: RNAcentral